This is a non-coding RNA of Salmo salar (Atlantic salmon), 54 nucleotides long. The record is from Rfam. Lineage: Eukaryota; Metazoa; Chordata; Actinopteri; Salmoniformes; Salmonidae.
CCUAAUUACUCAUGUAAGUCGCUCUGGAUAAGAGCGUCUGCUAAAUGACGUAAA